AAACUAACAAGGAUUCCCCUAGUAACGGCGAGUGAAGCGGGAAGAGCUCAAAUUUGAAAUCUGGCAGCCUUUGGUUGUCCGAGUUGUAAUCUAGAGAAGCGUUUUCCGCGUUGGCCCAUGUACAAGUCUGCUGGAAUGCAGCGUCAUAGAGGGUGAGAAUCCCGUCCUUGACAUGGACUACCAAUGCUUUGUGAUACGUUUUCAACGAGUCGAGUUGUUUGGGAAUGCAGCUCAAAAUGGGUGGUAAAUUCCAUCUAAAGCUAAAUAUUGGCGAGAGACCGAUAGCGAACAAGUACCGUGAGGGAAAGAUGAAAAGCACUUUGGAAAGAGAGUUAAACAGUAUGUGAAAUUGUUGAAAGGGAAACGAUUGAAGUCAGUCGUGGGCUUUGCAUUCAGCUGGUUCUGCCAGUGUACUUGCUUUGCUCGGGGUCAACAUCGGUUUUGGUCGUCGGAAAAGGCUUGGAGGAAUGUGCCACCCUCGGGUGAACUUAUAGCCUCUUUGCUUAUACGAUGGCUGGGACCGAGGAACGCAGCUUGCCUUUAUGGCCGGGGUUCGCCCACGUACAAGCUUAGGAUGUUGACAUAAUGGCUUUAAACGAC
RNAcentral lists this ribosomal RNA (600 nucleotides) under Cryptococcus sp. SDY 170. RNAcentral's name for it is "eukaryotic LSU rRNA". It matches the Rfam family "Eukaryotic large subunit ribosomal RNA", at positions 62 to 648 of the family's 3401-position model. The record is from RNAcentral. Lineage: Eukaryota; Fungi; Basidiomycota; Tremellomycetes; Tremellales; Cryptococcaceae.